ACUCUUUCACACCAAAGGUCUUU
Molecule: small nuclear RNA, 23 nt
Filed under: Arabidopsis thaliana (thale cress)
Lineage: Eukaryota; Viridiplantae; Streptophyta; Magnoliopsida; Brassicales; Brassicaceae
Description: snRNA_09119
Source: RNAcentral